RNAcentral lists this ribosomal RNA (301 nucleotides) under uncultured bacterium. RNAcentral describes it as "partial 16S ribosomal RNA". It matches the Rfam family "Bacterial small subunit ribosomal RNA", at positions 509 to 807 of the family's 1533-position model. The record is from RNAcentral.
CAGCCGCCACGGGAAUACGAAGGGGGCUAGCGUUGCUCGGAAUGACUGGGCGUAAAGGGCGCGUAGGCGGAUUGUUUAGUUAGGCGUGAAAUUCCUGGGCUUAACCUGGGGACUGCGCUUAAUACAGGCAGUCUAGAGUGAGGAAGAGGGUUGUGGAAUUCCCAGUGUAGAGGUGAAAUUCGUAGAUAUUGGGAAGAACACCGGUGGCGAAGGCGACAUACUGGUCCAUUACUGACGCUGAGGCUCGAAAGCGUGGGGGGCAAACAGGAUUAGAGACCCGAGUAGUCCCUGUCUCUUAUAC